This 2113-nucleotide ribosomal RNA is filed under the name Escherichia coli. Its description in RNAcentral is "bacterial LSU rRNA". It matches the Rfam family "Bacterial large subunit ribosomal RNA", at positions 1 to 2141 of the family's 2925-position model. The record is from RNAcentral. Lineage: Bacteria; Pseudomonadati; Pseudomonadota; Gammaproteobacteria; Enterobacterales; Enterobacteriaceae.
UUAAGCGACUAAGCGUACACGGUGGAUGCCCUGGCAGUCAGAGGCGAUGAAGGACGUGCUAAUCUGCGAUAAGCGUCGGUAAGGUGAUAUGAACCGUUAUAACCGGCGAUUUCCGAAUGGGGAAACCCAGUGUGAUUCGUCACACUAUCAUUAACUGAAUCCAUAGGUUAAUGAGGCGAACCGGGGGAACUGAAACAUCUAAGUACCCCGAGGAAAAGAAAUCAACCGAGAUUCCCCCAGUAGCGGCGAGCGAACGGGGAGCAGCCCAGAGCCUGAAUCAGUGUGUGUGUUAGUGGAAGCGUCUGGAAAGGCGCGCGAUACAGGGUGACAGCCCCGUACACAAAAAUGCACAUGCUGUGAGCUCGAUGAGUAGGGCGGGACACGUGGUAUCCUGUCUGAAUAUGGGGGGACCAUCCUCCAAGGCUAAAUACUCCUGACUGACCGAUAGUGAACCAGUACCGUGAGGGAAAGGCGAAAAGAACCCCGGCGAGGGGAGUGAAAAAGAACCUGAAACCGUGUACGUACAAGCAGUGGGAGCACGCUUAGGCGUGUGACUGCGUACCUUUUGUAUAAUGGGUCAGCGACUUAUAUUCUGUAGCAAGGUUAACCGAAUAGGGGAGCCGAAGGGAAACCGAGUCUUAACUGGGCGUUAAGUUGCAGGGUAUAGACCCGAAACCCGGUGAUCUAGCCAUGGGCAGGUUGAAGGUUGGGUAACACUAACUGGAGGACCGAACCGACUAAUGUUGAAAAAUUAGCGGAUGACUUGUGGCUGGGGGUGAAAGGCCAAUCAAACCGGGAGAUAGCUGGUUCUCCCCGAAAGCUAUUUAGGUAGCGCCUCGUGAAUUCAUCUCCGGGGGUAGAGCACUGUUUCGGCAAGGGGGUCAUCCCGACUUACCAACCCGAUGCAAACUGCGAAUACCGGAGAAUGUUAUCACGGGAGACACACGGCGGGUGCUAACGUCCGUCGUGAAGAGGGAAACAACCCAGACCGCCAGCUAAGGUCCCAAAGUCAUGGUUAAGUGGGAAACGAUGUGGGAAGGCCCAGACAGCCAGGAUGUUGGCUUAGAAGCAGCCAUCAUUUAAAGAAAGCGUAAUAGCUCACUGGUCGAGUCGGCCUGCGCGGAAGAUGUAACGGGGCUAAACCAUGCACCGAAGCUGCGGCAGCGACGCUGAUGCGUUGUUGGGUAGGGGAGCGUUCUGUAAGCCUGUGAAGGUGUACUGUGAGGUAUGCUGGAGGUAUCAGAAGUGCGAAUGCUGACAUAAGUAACGAUAAAGCGGGUGAAAAGCCCGCUCGCCGGAAGACCAAGGGUUCCUGUCCAACGUUAAUCGGGGCAGGGUGAGUCGACCCCUAAGGCGAGGCCGAAAGGCGUAGUCGAUGGGAAACAGGUUAAUAUUCCUGUACUUGGUGUUACUGCGAAGGGGGGACGGAGAAGGCUAUGUUGGCCGGGCGACGGUUGUCCCGGUUUAAGCGUGUAGGCUGGUUUUCCAGGCAAAUCCGGAAAAUCAAGGCUGAGGCGUGAUGACGAGGCACUACGGUGCUGAAGCAACAAAUGCCCUGCUUCCAGGAAAAGCCUCUAAGCAUCAGGUAACAUCAAAUCGUACCCCAAACCGACACAGGUGGUCAGGUAGAGAAUACCAAGGCGCUUGAGAGAACUCGGGUGAAGGAACUAGGCAAAAUGGUGCCGUAACUUCGGGAGAAGGCACGCUGAUAUGUAGGUGAAGUCCCUCGCGGAUGGAGCUGAAAUCAGUCGAAGAUACCAGCUGGCUGCAACUGUUUAUUAAAAACACAGCACUGUGCAAACACGAAAGUGGACGUAUACGGUGUGACGCCUGCCCGGUGCCGGAAGGUUAAUUGAUGGGGUUAGCGCAAGCGAAGCUCUUGAUCGAAGCCCCGGUAAACGGCGGCCGUAACUAUAACGGUCCUAAGGUAGCGAAAUUCCUUGUCGGGUAAGUUCCGACCUGCACGAAUGGCGUAAUGAUGGCCAGGCUGUCUCCACCCGAGACUCAGUGAAAUUGAACUCGCUGUGAAGAUGCAGUGUACCCGCGGCAAGACGGAAAGACCCCGUGAACCUUUACUAUAGCUUGACACUGAACAUUGAGCCUUGAUGUGUAG